Non-coding RNA from Podarcis lilfordi (Lilford's wall lizard), 78 nucleotides. The record is from the annotation of a GenBank genome assembly. NCBI's taxonomy places the organism in Eukaryota, Metazoa, Chordata, Lepidosauria, Squamata, Lacertidae.
GGGGCCAUAGCUCAGUGGUAGAGCAGCUGCUUUCCAUUCAGGAGGUCCCAGGUUCAAUCCCCAGCAUUGGAUGUUCCU